This 865-nucleotide unclassified non-coding RNA is filed under the name Bombus terrestris (buff-tailed bumblebee). RNAcentral's name for it is "misc RNA ENSBTSG00005034959.1". The record is from RNAcentral. Lineage: Eukaryota; Metazoa; Arthropoda; Insecta; Hymenoptera; Apidae.
CCUUCCCUCGUGCGUUCCCGCUUUCAACGAACCGCCAUUAUAUCCCGCCGCCGCUGCUACUACUGCCGCCGCCGCCGCUGUUGCUGCUGAUUAACACUCUUUCACACCGACGCUAGAAACGACGCUGUUCGCUAAUAACUUGGUUCCACGGUUCUUCCUCUCUUCCUCUGCUUCGCGCCUCUAGUUCGCGCCUCUGCUUCUCUUCCUUCCACUUUCCAAAUACCGCGCUAUACUCGCUGCUGCUGCCGCUGCCGCCGCUGCUGCUCUAUCUCUAUCGGUGUACGUAUCGCGCUCCAACAGAACCUCUCAACUUUGCCUCUCUUUUCUCGCGGCACUGCGACGCGACACAGCUUUUACCACGAUUCGUCGUGUUCCUUCGAUCGUCCAAGAUCGACCGAUGCCUCUCACCUUCUCGCACAGAACGCGAAAAGCGAUCGUCUACGUUCUCGGACUCGGGUCCGCGGCUAUGACCCCGUACUCGGCACACUGAACACGAUACAAUCGGAGGACCGGAGAACGAUGGCGACAACAACGAUUCUCUUUUUAUUUAAAAUCAUCAAUAAUCGCACUGACAGUGCCCUAUUACUUCGAUUUAUUAAUUUUAACGAUCGCUCGCGUUCUUCGCGCAAUACUUCGGUCUUUCGGCUUGAUUUUCAAGCGAGUCUAAUAAUCUAAUCGUAAAAAUCGAUCAUCUUAAGGAUUUCAACGUUGAAAUAUCAUUUAUAAAAAUUUCUGAAUUAUAGUUUACGCUUGUCUGUUUAAAGGACUUUGAUAUUUUAUUUUAAUCUUUGUGUAUGAUAUAAAUUUAAUAAUUUGAAAAACAUGUCUAUAUUAAAAAGUUAAUUGAGGACAUUAAAGUUGUCCU